Molecule: ribosomal RNA, 924 nt
Filed under: uncultured Zetaproteobacteria bacterium
Lineage: Bacteria; Pseudomonadati; Pseudomonadota; Candidatius Mariprofundia
Description: bacterial SSU rRNA
Rfam family: Bacterial small subunit ribosomal RNA
Source: RNAcentral
AGGGUUUGAUCCUGGCUCAGAACGAACGCUGGCGGCGUGCCUAACACAUGCAAGUCGAACGGUAACAGGGACUUCGGUCUGCUGACGAGUGGCGCACGGGUGAGUAACGCGUGGAUAUCUACCUAUUAGUGGGGGACAACUUGUGGAAACGCAAGCUAAUACCGCAUAAUCACUACGGUGGAAAGCAGGGGACCUUCGGGCCUUGUGCUGAUAGAUGAGUCCGCGUCUGAUUAGCUAGUUGGUAGGGUAAAGGCCUACCAAGGCGAUGAUCAGUAUCUGGUUUGAGAGGAUGAUCAGACACACUGGAACUGAGACACGGUCCAGACUUCUACGGAAGGCAGCAGUGGGGAAUAUUGCACAAUGGAGGAAACUCUGAUGCAGCGACGCCGCGUGUGGGAAGAAGGCUUUCGGGUUGUAAACCACUUUCAAUUGGGAAGAAGGGAUGAGAGUUAAUAACUUUCUGACUUGACGGUACCUUUAGAAGAAGCACCGGCUAAUUUCGUGCCAGCAGCCGCGGUAAUACGAAAGGUGCAAGCGUUGUUCGGAUUUACUGGGCGUAAAGCGAGUGUAGGUUGUUUAUUAAGUCGGAUGUGAAAUCCCGGGGCUCAACCUCGGAACUGCAUUCGAUACUGAUAGGCUAGAGUUCGGGAGGGGUAAGCGGAAUUCCGUGUGUAGCAGUGAAAUGCGUAGAUAUACGGAGGAACACCUGAGGCGAAGGCGGCUUACUGGACCGAUACUGACACUGAGACUCGAAAGCGUGGGUAGCAAACAGGAUUAGAUACCCUGGUAGUCCACGCCCUAAACGAUGUCAACUAGCCGUUGCGGGUAUCGACCCCUGCAGUGACGAAGCUAACGCGAUAAGUUGACCGCCUGGGGAGUACGGUCGCAAGAUUAAAACUCAAAGGAAUUGACGGGGGUCUGCUA